RNAcentral lists this ribosomal RNA (497 nucleotides) under uncultured bacterium. RNAcentral describes it as "partial 16S ribosomal RNA". It matches the Rfam family "Bacterial small subunit ribosomal RNA", at positions 28 to 507 of the family's 1533-position model. The record is from RNAcentral.
GAUGAACGCUGGCGGCGUGCCUAAUACAUGCAAGUCGAGCGAACGGACGAGAAGCUUGCUUUUCUGAUGUUAGCGGCGGACGGGUGAGUAACACGUGGAUAACCUACCUAUAAGACUGGGAUAACUUCGGGAAACCGGAGCUAAUACCGGAUAAUAUUUUGAACCGCAUGGUUCAAAAGUGAAAGACGGUCUUGCUGUCACUUAUAGAUGGAUCCGCGCUGCAUUAGCUAGUUGGUAAGGUAACGGCUUACCAAGGCAACGAUGCAUAGCCGACCUGAGAGGGUGAUCGGCCACAAUAGAACUGAGACAAGGUCCAGACUCCUACGGGAGGCAGCAGUAGGGAAUCUUCCGCAAUGGGCGAAAGCCUGACGGAGCAACGCCGCGUGAGUGAUGAAGGUCUUCAGAUCGUAAAACUCUGUUAUUAGGGAAGAACAUAUGUGUAAGUAACUGUGCACAUCUUGACGGUACCGAAUCAGAAAGCCAAGGCUAACUAAGUG